CCGCACUAGUGAUUAGAGUUGAUCCUGGCUCAGAUUGAACGCUGGCGGCAUGCCUUACACAUGCAAGUCGAGCGGCAGCGCGGGGGCAACCUGGGCGGCGAGCGGCGAACGGGUGAGUAAUACAUCGGAACGUGUCCAGUAGCGGGGGAUAACCUGUCGAAAGAUAGGCUAAUACCGCAUACGACCUACGGGUGAAAGCGGGGGACCGCAAGGCCUCGCACUAUUGGAGCGGCCGAUGUCGGAUUAGCUAGUUGGCGGGGUAAAGGCCCACCAAGGCGACGAUCGGUAGCUGGUCUGAGAGGAUGAUCAGCCACACUGGGACUGAGACACGGCCCAGACUCCUACGGGAGGCAGCAGUGGGGAAUUUUGGACAAUGGGGGCAACCCUGAUCCAGCCAUGCCGCGUGCGGGAAGAAGGCCUUCGGGUUGUAAACCGCUUUUAGUCGGGAAGAAAGGGUUCUCUUGAAUAGGGGGGAUCUUUGACGGUACCGGCGGAAUAAGCACCGGCUAACUACGUGCCAGCAGCCGCGGUAAUACGUAGGGUGCGAGCGUUAAUCGGAAUUACUGGGCGUAAAGCGUGCGUAGGCGGUUCCUCAAGUCCGUUGUGAAAGCCUCGGGCUCAACCUGGGAAUGGCAGUGGAAACUAGGGGACUGGAAUCUGGCAGAGGGGGGUGGAAUGCCGCGUGUAGCAGUGAAAUGCGUUGAGACGCGGCGGAACACCGAUGGCGAAGGCAGCCCCCUGG
Molecule: ribosomal RNA, 742 nt
Filed under: uncultured bacterium
Lineage: Bacteria
Description: bacterial SSU rRNA
Rfam family: Bacterial small subunit ribosomal RNA
Source: RNAcentral